Molecule: transfer RNA, 69 nt
Filed under: Glyphostoma sp. JEU-2016
Lineage: Eukaryota; Metazoa; Mollusca; Gastropoda; Neogastropoda; Clathurellidae
Description: tRNA-Pro
Rfam family: tRNA
About the family: Transfer RNA (tRNA) molecules are approximately 80 nucleotides in length.
Source: RNAcentral
UCGAAAUUGUAGUUUAAUUAAAAUAUUGGCAUUGGAAGCCAAAGAAUAGGUUUUAGCCUACAUUUCGAA